CGCCUUGCCAGCCCGCUCAGAACUCAAAGGAAUUGACGGGGGCCCGCACAAGCGGUGGAGCAUGUGGUUUAAUUCGAUGAUACGCGAGGAACCUUACCUGGGCUCAAAUGUAUGUUGACGUAUUCUGAAAGGGAUACUUCUUCGGACAAUAUACAAGGUGCUGCAUGGUUGUCGUCAGCUCGUGCCGUGAGGUGUCGGGUUAAGUCCCAUAACGAGCGCAACCCCUACCUUUAGUUGCCAUCAGGUAAUGCUGGGGACUCUAAAGGAACUGCCUACGCAAGUAGUGAGGAAGGCGGGGAUGACGUCAAAUCAGCACGGCCCUUACGUCCAGGGCUACACACGUGCUACAAUGGCCGAUACAGAGGGCAGCUACCUGGUGACAGGAUGCAAAUCUCCAAAGUCGGUCUCAGUUCGGAUCGGAGUCUGCAACCCGACUCCGUGAAGUUGGAUUCGCUAGUAAUCGCGCAUCAGCCAUGGCGCGGUGAAUACGUUCCCGGGCCUU
Molecule: ribosomal RNA, 502 nt
Filed under: uncultured Sphingobacteriales bacterium
Lineage: Bacteria; Pseudomonadati; Bacteroidota; Sphingobacteriia; Sphingobacteriales
Description: bacterial SSU rRNA
Rfam family: Bacterial small subunit ribosomal RNA
Source: RNAcentral